CCUACGGGGGGCAGCAGUGGGGAAUAUUGGACAAUGGGGGGAACCCUGAUCCAGCCAUGCCGCGUGUGUGAAGAAGGCCCUCGGGUUGUAAAGCACUUUCAGUGAGGAAGAACGCCUGGUGGUUAAUACCCAUCAGGAAAGACAUCACUCACAGAAGAAGCACCGGCUAACUCCGUGCCAGCAGCCGCGGUAAUACGGAGGGUGCGAGAGUUAAUCGGAAUUACUGGGCGUAAAGCGCGCGUAGGUGGCUUGAUAAGCCGGUUGUGAAAGCCCCGGGCUCAACCUGGGAACGGCAUCCGGAACUGUCAAGCUAGAGUGCAGGAGAGGAAGGUAGAAUUCCCGGUGUAGCGGUGAAAUGCGUAGAGAUCGGGAGGAAUACCAGUGGCGAAGGCGGCCUUCUGGACUGACACUGACACUGAGGUGCGAAAGCGUGGGUAGCAAACAGGAUUAGAUACACCUGUAGUC
Molecule: ribosomal RNA, 465 nt
Filed under: Vreelandella stevensii
Lineage: Bacteria; Pseudomonadati; Pseudomonadota; Gammaproteobacteria; Oceanospirillales; Halomonadaceae
Description: partial 16S ribosomal RNA
Rfam family: Bacterial small subunit ribosomal RNA
Source: RNAcentral